GGUAGUGUGGCUGAGAUUUAAGCGGCGAGUUGUAGCCUCGUUUACCGGGAAGAUAGCCCGCAGUACCAAGCC
Molecule: transfer RNA, 72 nt
Filed under: Lygodactylus waterbergensis
Lineage: Eukaryota; Metazoa; Chordata; Lepidosauria; Squamata; Gekkonidae
Description: tRNA-Tyr
Source: RNAcentral